This 3673-nucleotide long non-coding RNA is filed under the name Malus domestica (apple). RNAcentral describes it as "long non-coding RNA (MDOM_LNC005264)". The record is from RNAcentral. Lineage: Eukaryota; Viridiplantae; Streptophyta; Magnoliopsida; Rosales; Rosaceae.
GAAUAGUUUAACCCUUUAUAAACCCUUAUAAGAUUUUUUCUUUCACUGAUAUAAGACUAUUUUACCUUCAAACCCUCACAAAAAACACGUCAUCUUUUUGUUUGAUGUGAUGGGCUUGUGAAAAUUAAUUUCAAGUCUCCACCACCUUCGUAGGCAAAUUAUUACAUAGGCCAAAAGUACUCUAGAUCUUGCAGGUUAUAUUUUGGAAAAUUAUAUCAUACAUAUAAUGUUUAAGUUAAAAUCGAUUUUCUUUAUGACCCAGAAACAUACAAAUGAUAACAAGCAAACCAAAGUCUUAACUCUUAAUACAAGCAAUUAAGUAGAAGGUUCAGAUUCUUUGACAAUUAUCUUCACUCAUCAAGGAUAUAUGGUAUUUGCUGGACAAGAUCUCCAAUUAUCCGAUUAAUUACAUUUACAGAAAUGCAAUUUGACAUUUGAUGAGUUUGCUAAUCAAGCACAUACUUAUAGUCAAGGCUUAUUUUAUCAACACCCCACAUAUAUUGUUGAAUGCACCCCACAACCUUAAUACACCCAACAUUUGCUUUUUUAAUUAAAAUUUAUCUUAAUACACCCCACCUACUUUUCCAUAAUACCAUCACACCCCACACCUCAACAUACAACCCACAUUUUCUACAUAUACCCCACACUCUGCAUAUCUAAAAAAAGAAAAAAAAUUUAGCCCUCCCCCUUCUCCAACAAGAACCAGCCACAAUUAUUCUUCUUCUACCACACCGCGCCAAAUGUUGAUUAAAGAGUAACAUUGCUUUGAUUAAAAACUUGAGGUCACAACAUUUAAAGGAAAGGCCAGUGCUUCAGUUCCUCCAUUUCUUUUUGUUUGGACUUCAACCCAGGAUAAGUAGGACAAUGUUGCGAAACCUAAAAGAUGUGUACGCAAAAGAAAGGGACAACCUUUCCAAGCUCUCCUCGAAAAUAUGUGGAAACCAAAUAUUCUUAAAACAAGACUUGCAAAUGAGGGCCUUUGUAUUGCUUCUCUGAGCCGAACAGCCAACUAAUAAGACUAAUUAAGGGGUUACUUGAUUUGGUAUGGAAGGUUGAUUUGAUUGAAGGAAUCAGGUUUAGAAAGAUGGAAACUGCCCAAGUAGGAAUAGGAAAAUGGGGACAAAAGUUGGGAUUAAUUGAUUGAAGAUCAAUUAUCAAUGUGAAGUUUAUUUGGUUUUGGAUUAAGAUUCUCUUAUGAAUAAUUUUUUCAGUCAACGUCUUUGUAGUUUUAUUGAUUAGAGUUUUGUUCUAAGUACAAUGGAGAGGGAACGGUUUUGAGAGUUGAAGAAAAUAAAUAAUAUUGGGAUGUGUUAUUUGGGGUGUAUUUAGAAUUAUUUUAAUUUUUUUUUAUAAUCUUAUGUGGGGUGUUUUCAACAUUAUGUUGGGAUCUAAUAAAAAAACCAUAGUCAAUCUUGUAUUUAGUUUUGUAAUUUUCGUCCGAAAUUUGUUCGUGGCUCUUAAUUGAUUUGUAUUGUACUAUGAUCCGUAUAGGAUCCAGUUUGUAAUGUUUAUAUUUAAAAAAAAAAUCACAACCAAACAUCAUAACAUCAAGAUAAAUGGGGAAAAAGAAGAAUUAGAUAGUAUGCAACAUUAGGGUUCCUCUUUGAUUAAGCCAGAAAAGAAGAUCAGUUUCAUCUUUGUCUGUGCUUAUUUAUCUUCAAUUAACUAAAGGAAGUCUCAAUGAAACAUUCAUGGUACUGUUCACUUUUAACGUUAAAGAUAUUUUUAGCCGGAAAAGUCACUUCUGAUAUUAUUCACUUACACAUUUAUUUUGUCGCUUUGAUUAAAACUAUUUUUUUUUUUUUAGAACUUUUCGUUAGUUUUCCUUAAAUGGAGAGUUCAACUGUGCUAUAUAUACUACAUGGUGCAGUGUUGCACGUUACCUACAAUUUAUAAAUUCUUCGUGCAGAGUUAGUAGAACUCAGAUUUAGAGAGAGGUCUGGGAACCCAUAUGCAUGGCUAUGUGAAAAAGAUAUGAUCUGUUACAUAAAACAAAAAUUUUGUUAUGAUAUUUUUUAGGUCAAGAAUGGCAUGUAAAGCAACAAAGUUUGGUUUACUACUUUAUUCACACUUCUUCCACACCUUUAUUUUAUGAAUUAUAGGUUACAAAUAAGGUGGUUAGUUUCUCUUAAUCGCAACAUCACCGCUUGAAAAGAUAACCCUAUCAACUUAUCAUAUUUAAUCAAAACCAUUAAUUUAAGAACACCUCACGAGUCACAUAGGCCAAUAAUCUUCGCACCAUAUGACAGUGACAAAGAAGAAGAAACAUAUAAAAAGAAAGUGAAAUAUUCCCACUUACGUACACAUAUAUGAUAUCUUUAUAUUUAUUCAACCAAAGGUAUAAUAAAUCUUGGGUUUUGAUGUAUAAGGUGGUGGCCAUUGUUUAACUUGGAUGCGUGCCGAUAUUAGAUGUCACGUAUAUGUAAUAUUCCUCUAAUUAUAUAUUUAGGAUGACAAUUACGAGAUGGGUGACGGGUCUUCCAUGCCACUACUUGUUUAUGUCACCUAGGCUAGUACAUAAACACAUGGUCACGGCCAACAAUCCCCACGCAACAAAUAAAGGCCAAAUAUUCAUUGCAAUUUUGAGUGGUCCGGGCCUUGAAUAAUUAUAAGGAAUAAUAGAUGACCAACGCAUAAAAUGAUGUGAUGCCCUCAAGGAGUUUAAAAAUCUUAGUCAAUUUGAAGAAUUAACGGUUAAUUUGGCUAACAAGUGGAGCUCGGGUUCCAAAUCUAAUUAUAUGGGGACACUUUCUAACGACCAAAUGUCUGAAAAUUAGUUGGUUGUUAAUGUGAGCAAGGAAGUAGAGCUAUUAAGAAAAAAGUCUUUUGCUCAUCGGUGGUAAUAAUCACUACCUUAUUUAUUAUUAUUGGAUAAGUUUAAAUUUUAAGAUUUGUGUCUGUCUACUACACAGAUUUUGAAAAUUUAAACUUAUCAAACAGUGAUAAAUAAAGUGGUGAGCAUUACCAUCACUUGAGAAUGGUGAGUAAACAUAUUCCCAUUAAGAAAUUUACCAAAAUCGAUGUAGACUUUGUGAGUUUGAGGCUUUGGGUUUAGUUAUACAUUGAAAUAGUUAGAAACUGUUACAUAUUGUAGGCCAGCUUUAUGAGGUCACUAUUCAAUAAUUAGUAAUAUCGUCCUAGGCCUGGACAUGUAAGCUCAUGCCCUUAAAACAAAGCCUGAGUUUUCAAAUGAGUGCUCUAAUUAAGGUGAGCUUGAAUCCUUUAGCAUGAGCCUCUUAGAGGUGGGAUUUGUGAAGAUUGAAGCAGUAGCUCCAAUGAAGAUAGUCGAAGAAACUGAGAUUUAGAGAGACAGAGAGACAGAGAGAUUUCAGAGAAGAUUUCUUUUGUAUUUCUUGUAUGUUUUUCAUCAUCAAUUACACCUUUAGCUAUCUGUAUUUAUAUUAUUACAUUCCUUGCUCUGUAAGCCAAGAUAUGAAGUAUAUCAGUUUUAACAACUUUAACAACCUUAGCACCAUAUCCUAACAACCUUGUAACUUCAUUUGGAUCUUGUGACACUUGUCCUCAUCUAGACCCUUGAAUUGCUUUCACUUGAAUUCUGCUCUUGAUGCUUGUUGUCCUUACUUAUACUCUUACAUCCCCCCUCAAUCUCAUGCGUGAGGGAACUGAGCAUGAGAUUGCCACAGUGAUGGUGAAACAAGGGUGCAGAUAAACC